GUCCGAUUAGCUAGUUGGUGAGGUAAUGGCCCACCAAGGCAACGAUUGGUAGCCGGACUGAGAGGUUGAACGGCCACAUUGGGACUGAGACACGGCCCAGACUCCUACGGGAGGCAGCAGUGGGGAAUAUUGCACAAUGGGGGAAACCCUGAUGCAGCGACGCCGCGUGGAGGAAGAAGGUCUUCGGAUUGUAAACUCCUGUUGUUGAGGAAGAUAAUGACGGUACUCAACAAGGAAGUGACGGCUAACUACGUGCCAGCAGCCGCGGUAAAACGUAGGUCACAAGCGUUGUCCGGAAUUACUGGGUGUAAAGGGAGCGCAGGCGGGAAGACAAGUUGGAAGUGAAAUCUAUGGGCUCAACCCAUAAACUGCUUUCAAAACUGUUUUUCUUGAGUAGUGCAGAGGUAGGCGGAAUUCCCGGUGUAGCGGUGGAAUGCGUAGAUAUCGGGAGGAACACCAGUGGCGAAGGCGGCCUACUGGGCACCAACUGACGCUGAGGCUCGAAAGUGUGGGUAGCAAACAGGAUUAGAUACCCUGGUAGUCCACACCGUAAACGAUGAUUACUAGGUGUUGGAGGAUUGACCCCUUCAGUGCCGCAGUUAACACAAUAAGUAAUCCACCUGGGGAGU
This 629-nucleotide ribosomal RNA is filed under the name uncultured bacterium. RNAcentral describes it as "bacterial SSU rRNA". It matches the Rfam family "Bacterial small subunit ribosomal RNA", at positions 235 to 881 of the family's 1533-position model. The record is from RNAcentral.